This 225-nucleotide long non-coding RNA is filed under the name Anas platyrhynchos platyrhynchos (common mallard). Its description in RNAcentral is "lncRNA (ENSAPLG00000021933.1)". The record is from RNAcentral. Lineage: Eukaryota; Metazoa; Chordata; Aves; Anseriformes; Anatidae.
CCCAAAUUGGGGGGGGGGGGGGGGGGGGGGGGCGGGGGAGGAGGAGCCCCCCCCCACGGCCAGAGACCCCCCCCGGUGAGGAGGGGCCGCCCCACCUCACCCUCUGAUUGGCCGACUGACGCCUGUGAUUGACAGCUCGGAUUGACCCCUAACACCGGCUCGGAUGAUUGACAGCCCCGGCUGAUUGACAGCUCCACCUGAUUGACAGCUCCACCUGAUUGACAG